AGUGAACGCUGGCGGUAGGCCUAACACAUGCAAGUCGAACGGCAGCACAGUAAGAGCUUGCUCUUACGGGUGGCGAGUGGCGGACGGGUGAGGAAUACAUCGGAAUCUACUUUUUCGUGGGGGAUAACGCAGGGAAACUUACGCUAAUACCGCAUACGACCUACGGGUGAAAGCAGGGGAUCUUCGGACCUUGCGCGAUUGAAUGAGCCGAUGUCGGAUUAGCUAGUUGGCGGGGUAAAGGCCCACCAAGGCGACGAUCCGUAGCUGGUCUGAGAGGAUGAUCAGCCACACUGGAACUGAGACACGGUCCAGACUCCUACGGGAGGCAGCAGUGGGGAAUAUUGGACAAUGGGCGCAGGCCUGAUCCAGCCAUACCGCGUGGGUGAAGAAGGCCUUCGGGUUGUAAAGCCCUUUUGUUGGGAAAGAAAAGCAGCAGGUUAAUACCCCGCUGUUCUGACGGUACCCAAAGAAUAAGCACCGGCUAACUUCGUG
Molecule: ribosomal RNA, 492 nt
Filed under: uncultured bacterium
Lineage: Bacteria
Description: partial 16S ribosomal RNA
Rfam family: Bacterial small subunit ribosomal RNA
Source: RNAcentral